UUGAUUUUCUGUAGUGGAGACAAGCAAACUAAAGAUCAACUUCACCAACCAAACCAAAGGAGUAGUUGUUUUUGUAUACAAAAGCUUUUUGAAUUUCAAAUAAGGGUGGCACCACACGAACCUCAUAAAUACACAAAAUUGAAAGCUCAAGAUCUCUUCUCUGCCUCUCAUUCACUUUUUUCCCCUAUUUUUUUUUUUUCCCUAAAAGCUUCAAAUUUAAUAUACCCACCUCCUUUUUCUUCUAGGGUUGGUGGAAAAUUCAAUGCCAGCAUUUUCAACAACAUCUUCAAUCCCAUCUCUCUCUCUCUCUCUCUCUCUCUCUCUCUCUCUCUCUCUUCAUAUUCAAAAAUCAUGCAUCCUAUAGGACCUAGUGACUAUGCAGUACUAUCAAUACAGAAUUCCUACUUUCCACCUUCUUCUCCUCUCUUGUUUUUUCCUUCUGGCAUUCUUGAGACACUAUCUUUGUUAUUUGUUUUCUAGUCACUUGAAGCUUAUAUAUCUAGCUAGCCACUUUGAGGAUGCGAAAGGAUGAUGAAGCAGAAUGUAGAGAUUAAUGGGGUGGAGUUAAGAGCAUGAGUCAGAGUAAUACAAAAGAACAUGAGAUAUUGGUACGGUUCAAUCAGAAACCAGCUGCUUUAAUUCUAGAGCUCUGUGUUUUUUAUUGAGCCGUGCCAAUAUCACAUGUAGAUGCUUUUAAGUGUAUUGCUAGCAGCUACUGCUAUACAUAUAUAAAAAUUCUUCCUCUCCUCUCCUUACCAGUGACCACACUCAUAAGCUAAGCUCAUUUUCUCUGCCAAAUCUCUACUUUUCUUCACUUUUUAAAUCUUUAUCCUUAAUAUUUUUAUAUUUUUCUUUUUUAAAAUGUUAGUUUUCAUGGAUGAAAUUCCAAUUAGGAUUAGUCAUUUGUGUGUGUGUGUAUUUUUUUUCUUUUUUUGGGGGUGAAUAUGGUUACUUUUGCGCUUAGUAUUAUUAUUAGUACUACUGCAGAGCUGGUGCAUAGAAUUAUGCAUUUAUAUAUUUUAUUUUCCAGGUAAAUAUACCAAAGGCUUUUCCAGUA
Molecule: long non-coding RNA, 1057 nt
Organism: Ziziphus jujuba (common jujube)
Lineage: Eukaryota; Viridiplantae; Streptophyta; Magnoliopsida; Rosales; Rhamnaceae
Exons: 2
Source: RefSeq, a predicted model, not a curated record